UGGCUCUGGAGAAGCCCGGCAACGGGUACCGAAGGUGCAAGGCGGCGUCAGCCGCUGAAUCUCUCAGGUAAAAGGACAGAGUAGG
This 85-nucleotide non-coding RNA is filed under the name uncultured Dysosmobacter sp. RNAcentral's name for it is "Glycine riboswitch". It matches the Rfam family "Glycine riboswitch aptamer", at positions 9 to 86 of the family's 94-position model. Rfam says of the family: This family represents the bacterial glycine riboswitch. Glycine riboswitches usually consist of two metabolite-binding aptamers domains with similar structures in tandem. The record is from RNAcentral. Lineage: Bacteria; Bacillati; Bacillota; Clostridia; Eubacteriales; Oscillospiraceae.